AGAGAGAGUCACCAUUGCCGCCAUCACUUGGGGGACCGAUAGGGAGAAGCUGAUGAGAGACGCAGACAACUAGACACUAC
Caenorhabditis elegans is the source of this 80-nucleotide non-coding RNA. The record is from Ensembl. NCBI's taxonomy places the organism in Eukaryota, Metazoa, Nematoda, Chromadorea, Rhabditida, Rhabditidae.